This 465-nucleotide ribosomal RNA is filed under the name uncultured bacterium. RNAcentral's name for it is "bacterial SSU rRNA". It matches the Rfam family "Bacterial small subunit ribosomal RNA", at positions 338 to 795 of the family's 1533-position model. The record is from RNAcentral.
CCUACGGGGGGCUGCAGUAGGGAAUCUUCCGCAAUGGACGAAAGUCUGACGGAGCAACGCCGCGUGAGCGAAGAAGGUCUUCGGAUCGUAAAGCUCUGUUGUCAGGGAAGAACAAGUACCGAAGGAAAUGGCGGUACCUUGACGGUACCUGACGAGAAAGCCACGGCUAACUACGUGCCAGCAGCCGCGGUAAUACGUAGGUGGCAAGCGAUGUCCGGAAUUAUUGGGCGUAAAGCGGGCGCAGGCGGGUGCAUAAGGCUGAAGUGAAAGCUUACGGGAAAACCGCAAGCGGGCAGUGGAAACCGGGGAUCUAAAAAGUAGAAGGGCAGUGCUGAAUUGCACCGGUGGCGGUGAUAUUAGCAGUGCCAUUGUGCAAGACCAGUGGCGGAGAAGGCUUGCGGGUCUGUAACACGCGCUGAGGCGCAAAGGUGUGGCGAGCAAACAGCAUUAGAUACACGGGUAGUC